UGCAAGUCGAGCGGCAGCACGGGAGCUUGCUUCCUGGUGGCGAGCGGCGGACGGGUGAGUAAUGCAUAGGAAUCUGCCCGGUAAUGGGGGAUAACCUGGGGAAACCCAGGCUAAUACCGCAUACUUCCUACGGGAGAAAGCAGGGGACCUUCGGGCCUUGCGCUAUCGGAUGAGCCUAUGUCGGAUUAGCUGGUUGGUGAGGUAAUGGCUCACCAAGGCGACGAUCCGUAGCUGGUCUGAGAGGAUGAUCAGCCACAUCGGGACUGAGACACGGCCCGAACUCCUACAGGAGGCAGCAGUGGGGAAUAUUGGACAAUGGGCGACAAGCCUGAGUCCAGCCAUGCCGCGUAGUGUGAAGAAGGGCCUCGGGUCUGUAAAGUCACUUUCUGUGGGGAAGAAAGCAUUCCGAGUCAAUACCCGGGACGUAGGACAUCAUCCACAGAGCAAGCACCGGCUAACUCCGUCCCAGCAGCCGCGGUAAUACGGAGGGUGCGAGCGUUAAUCGGAAUUACUGGGCAUAAAGCGCGCGUAGGUGGCUUGAUAAGCCGGUUGUGAAAGCCCCGGUCUCAACCUGGGAACGGCAUCCGGAACUGUCAGGCUAGAGUGCAGGAGAGGAAGGUAGAAUUCCCGGUGUAGCGGUGAAAUGCGUAGAGAUCGGGAGGAAUACCAGUGGAGAAGGCGUCCUUGUGGACUGACACUGACAGUGAGGUGCGAAAGCGUGGGUAGCAAACAGGAUUAGAUACCCUGGUAGUCCACGCUGUAAACGAUGUCGACUAGCCGUUGGGUCCUUCGCGGACUUUGUGGCGCAGUUAACGCGAUAAGUCGACCGCCUGGGGAGUACGGCCGCAAGGUUAAAACUCAAAUGAAUUGACGGGGGCCCGCACAAGCGGUGGAGCAUGUGGUUUAAUUCGAUGCAACGCGAAGAACCUUACCUACCCUUGACAUCCUCGGAAUCUGCCGGAGACGGCGGAGUGCCUUCGGGAACCGAGUGACAGGUGCUGCAUGGCUGUCGUCAGCUCGUGUUGUGAAAUGUUGGGUUAAGUCCCGUAACGAGCGCAACCCUUGUCCCUAUUUGCCAGCGAUUCGGUCGGGAACUCUAGGGAGACUGCCGGUGACAAACCGGAGGAAGGUGGGGACGACGUCAAGUCAUCAUGGUCCCUUACGGGUAGGGCUACACACGUGCUACAAUGGUCGGUACAAAGGGUUGCGAGCUCGCGAGGGCAAGCUAAUCCCAGAAAGCCGGUCUCAGUCCGGAUCGGAGUCUGCAACUCGCCUCCGUGAAGUCGGAAUCGCUAGUAAUCGUGAAUCAGAAUGCCACGGUGAAUACGUUCCCGGGCCUUGUACACACCGCCCGUCACACCAUGGGAGUGGACUGCACCAGAAGUGGUUAGCCGUAACCUCGGGAGGCCGAUCACCAACGGGGGUCUAGGGGGA
RNAcentral lists this ribosomal RNA (1434 nucleotides) under Billgrantia desiderata. RNAcentral describes it as "bacterial SSU rRNA". It matches the Rfam family "Bacterial small subunit ribosomal RNA". Lineage: Bacteria; Pseudomonadati; Pseudomonadota; Gammaproteobacteria; Oceanospirillales; Halomonadaceae. The record is from RNAcentral.